AAGCAGCUUGCUGCUUCGCUGACGAGUGGCGGACGGGUGAGUAAUGUCUGGGAAACUGCCUGAUGGAGGGGGAUAACUACUGGAAACGGUGGCUAAUACCGCAUAACGUCGCAAGACCAAAGAGGGGGACCUUCGGGCCUCUUGCCAUCAGAUGUGCCCAGAUGGGAUUAGCUUGUUGGUGAGGUAACGGCUCACCAAGGCGACGAUCCCUAGCUGGUCUGAGAGGAUGACCAGCCACACUGGAACUGAGACACGGUCCAGACUCCUACGGGAGGCAGCAGUGGGGAAUAUUGCACAAUGGGCGCAAGCCUGAUGCAGCCAUGCCGCGUGUAUGAAGAAGGCCUUCGGGUUGUAAAGUACUUUCAGCGGGGAGGAAGGUGUUGUGGUUAAUAACCGCAGCAAUUGACGUUACCCGCAGAAGAAGCACCGGCUAACUCCGUGCCAGCAGCCGCGGUAAUACGGAGGGUGCAAGCGUUAAUCGGAAUUACUGGGCGUAAAGCGCACGCAGGCGGUCUGUCGAGUCGGAUGUGAAAUCCCCGGGCUCAACCUGGGAACUGCAUUCGAAACUGGCAGGCUUGAGUCUUGUAGAGGGGGGUAGAAUUCCAGGUGUAGCGGUGAAAUGCGUAGAGAUCUGGAGGAAUACCGGUGGCGAAGGCGGCCCCCUGGACAAAGACUGACGCUCANGUGCGAAAGCGUGGGGAGCAAACAGGAUUAGAUANCCUGGUAGUCCACGCCGUAAACGAUGUCUACUUGGAGGUUGUGCCCUUGAGGCGUGGCUUCCGGAGCUAACGCGUUAAGU
Molecule: ribosomal RNA, 799 nt
Filed under: uncultured bacterium
Lineage: Bacteria
Description: bacterial SSU rRNA
Rfam family: Bacterial small subunit ribosomal RNA
Source: RNAcentral